GUCAGUGUGAUAUAGUGGUUUGAGCGUUGGACUACAACACUGAAGACCAGGGUUCAAAUCCCAACUCAGCCA
Phrynosoma platyrhinos (Desert horned lizard) is the source of this 72-nucleotide non-coding RNA. Lineage: Eukaryota; Metazoa; Chordata; Lepidosauria; Squamata; Phrynosomatidae. The record is from the annotation of a GenBank genome assembly.